RNAcentral lists this ribosomal RNA (758 nucleotides) under uncultured bacterium. RNAcentral describes it as "bacterial SSU rRNA". It matches the Rfam family "Bacterial small subunit ribosomal RNA", at positions 58 to 818 of the family's 1533-position model. The record is from RNAcentral.
CGAGUCGAACGGGAAAAUUUUAUUGAAGCUUCGGCAGAUUUAGCUUGUUUCUAGUGUCGGACGGGUGAGUAACGCGUGGGUAACCUGCCUUAUACUGGGGGAUAACAGCCAGAAAUGACUGCUAAUACCGCAUAAGCGCACAGAACCGCAUGGUUCCGUGUGAAAAACUCCGGUGGUAUAAGAUGGACCCGCGUUGGAUUAGCUAGUUGGCAGGGCAGCGGCCUACCAAGCCGACGAUCAGUAGCCGGCCUGAGAGGGUGAACGGCCACAUUGGGACUGAGACACGGCCCAGACUCCUACGGGAGGCAGCAGUGGGGAAUAUUGCACAAUGGGGGAAACCCUGAUGCAGCGACGCCGCGUGAAGGAAGAAGUAUCUCGGUAUGUAAACUUCUAUCAGCAGGGAAGAAAGUGACGGUACCUGACUAAGAAGCCCCGGCUAAUUACGUGCCAGCAGCCGCGGUAAUACGUAAGGGGCAAGCGUUAUCCGGAUUUACUGGGUGUAAAGGGAGCGUAGACGGUUUGGCAAGUCUGAUGUGAAAGGCAUGGGCUCAACCUGUGGACUGCAUUGGAAACUGUCAGACUUGAGUGCCGGAGAGGCAAGCGGAAUUCCUAGUGUAGCGGUGAAAUGCGUAGAUAUUAGGAGGAACACCAGUGGCGAAGGCGGCCUGCUGGACGGUAACUGACGUUGAGGCUCGAAAGCGUGNGGAGCAAACAGGAUUAGAUACCCUNGUAGUCCACGCUGUAAACGAUGAAUACUA